UGAGGAAUAUUGGUCAAUGGUCGGAAGACUGAACCAGCCAAGUAGCGUGAAGGAUGAAGGUUCUAUGGAUUGUAAACUUCUUUUAUAUAGGAAUAAAACCUCCCACGUGUGGGAGCUUGUAUGUACUAUAUGAAUAAGCAUCGGCUAACUCCGUGCCAGCAGCCGCGGUAAUACGGAGGAUGCGAGCGUUAUCCGGAUUUAUUGGGUUUAAAGGGAGCGUAGACGGGAUGUUAAGUCAGCUGUGAAAGUUUGGGGCUCAACCUUAAAAUUGCAGUUGAUACUGGCGUCCUUGAGUGCGGUUGAGGUAUGUGGAAUUCGUGGUGUAGCGGUGAAAUGCUUAGAUAUCACGAAGAACUCCGAUUGCGAAGGCAGCAUACUAAGCCGCUACUGACGUUGAGGCUCGAAAGUGUGGGUAUCAAACAGG
Molecule: ribosomal RNA, 424 nt
Filed under: uncultured prokaryote
Also listed under: 1 other name
Description: bacterial SSU rRNA
Rfam family: Bacterial small subunit ribosomal RNA
Source: RNAcentral